ACCAUUGGUGUAUCUCCUCUUUGCCUUCAUGACUGCAUCUCUUUUCUUAGUGAGGAGCUGACUGAAAGCUGCCAUGAGCUCCAGAUAGGAUGUAGGUGUAACAUAAUUAUGGCGACCUAGCUCAGAGAGGAAUCUGCGAAGAAAAAAGUGUAAACAGAAGCUGAUAUAAUGUACUCUUAAUCUUAUUUAUUACUAAGUCACACCUCACUGAAAGUUGACUUGCAGAGGUGUGAAAUGUUUUGCAGAUGGAUACGACCUCCUUCGUCUCAUUGUCUUUCAUCUCCAGCGGCUGCAGGAAAGAGUUGGCUACCCGCUCAAGAGCCUCCUCUGGCCAAGGCUGUUAGGGUGCAGUUAAAUGUGUUACAUUUUUCACACAAGCAAGAAAAACCAUACGUACUUAAGACAGUCAACCAAAAUGGAAAAUUUUCCUCAUGUGCCCAAAUGAAAACUGACCUACAGUGAGUACACUGUGUAUACAGUAUAUGAGAACCUUUGUGUUCUUUGGAUGGUGGACAACUGGUUAGCACAUCUGCCUCAGAGUUCUGAGGACCUGGGUUCAAAUCCGGCCUCGCCUAUGUGGAGUUGGCAUGUUCUCCCCGUGCCUGAGUGGGUUUUCUCUGGGUACUUCAGUUUCCUCACAUACCCAAAGAACAUGCCCAUAGGUGUGAAUGUGGGUGUGUAUGGUUGUUUGUGCCCUGUGAUUGGCUGGCGACCAGUUCAGGGUGUACCCCGCUUCUCGCCCAGAGUCAGCUAGGAUAGGCUCCAGCAUGCCCGCAACCCUCGUGAGGAUAAGUGAUAUGGAAAAUGGAUGGAUGCAUGUGUUCUUUAUGUGACUUUUUCAUACAUCAGCAAAAACUCUAAUUGAUCAUGCAUAUGUAGUACCUGAAACCAGUUUAUGGUGCAACAGUUAAUUAGAGACGGAAACUGGCGCAGGCGAUUACGAAAAGCUUCGCCAAUAGGACUGAAGGCCACAACGAUGUGCAGGUUCUGCUUGCAGCGUGCCACGAAGUAGUUAAACAGAGUCAAAGAGCUCAACUCUACGCUCUUAUUCUUCGCUUGGGCAAUGGGACGUACAGUCUAGAAAUGGGAAGAGAAUGAGAUUAUUUGUAAAUAUAAAUGCAGAGUUGACGAUCGUGAACUCCAUACGUGAUGGUCCGGCAGGCGAAGAGGCAUACGGAGAUGCAGACAAGAAGCACUUUCCAACAGCACAGUACAGUAAUACAUACGCAAACAUAUUGGGCACCUCUCCUGUGUUCAGGACACUGUUUACAUCUUCAAGAAAAGCUUCAUCUUUAAUCUGAGCAUCAAUUACAAGCACAACACUGACCUUGAGGUCAUCCCUCCACUCAACCAUUCCAUAACUCUUUGAAAUCUCAGGCUGGAAAAGGUUCAUCUGGGCGAUGAACGUGGCCAAACGAGUGAUGGACUGGCGUCCACUGCCUCCCACUCCUACUAACAGGGCAUUCCCUCCUGGCUGCUUCAAGACACGGCUUAUGCGGGACAGGUGCUCCAAGACAUAGCUACAUCGGACACAUUUUUAAUUGUGACUACUCUGUUAAUGCUAUUUAGUUGUGCUCAAUAAAUAAAUUAAAAAUAAAUUAUUUUUUUUUAAAAGAAAAAUUAACCUAAAAAUAUCACAUGAAUGCAGCGGUUUUUAAUACAAUACUGUACAUCCUU
Molecule: long non-coding RNA, 1677 nt
Organism: Phyllopteryx taeniolatus (common seadragon)
Lineage: Eukaryota; Metazoa; Chordata; Actinopteri; Syngnathiformes; Syngnathidae
Exons: 3
Source: RefSeq, a predicted model, not a curated record